CUGGUAUUGAUUGGUGCUUGCAUCAUGAUUUACAUUUGAGUGAGUGGCGAACUGGUGAGUAACACGUGGGAAACCUGCCCAGAAGCGGGGGAUAACACCUGGAAACAGAUGCUAAUACCGCAUAACAACUUGGACCGCAUGGUCCGAGUUUGAAAGAUGGCUUCGGCUAUCACUUUUGGAUGGUCCCGCGGCGUAUUAGCUAGAUGGUGGGGUAACGGCUCACCAUGGCAAUGAUACGUAGCCGACCUGAGAGGGUAAUCGGCCACAUUGGGACUGAGACACGGCCCAAACUCCUACGGGAGGCAGCAGUAGGGAAUCUUCCACAAUGGACGAAAGUCUGAUGGAGCAACGCCGCGUGAGUGAAGAAGGGUUUCGGCUCGUAAAACUCUGUUGUUAAAGAAGAACAUAUCUGAGAGUAACUGUUCAGGUAUUGACGGUAUUUAACCAGAAAGCCACGGCUAACUACGUGCCAGCAGCCGCGGUAAUACGUAGGUGGCAAGCGUUGUCCGGAUUUAUUGGGCGUAAAGCGAGCGCAGGCGGUUUUUUAAGUCUGAUGUGAAAGCCUUCGGCUCAACCGAAGAAGUGCAUCGGAAACUGGGAAACUUGAGUGCAGAAGAGGACAGUGGAACUCCAUGUGUAGCGGUGAAAUGCGUAGAUAUAUGGAAGAACACCAGUGGCGAAGGCGGCUGUCUGGUCUGUAACUGACGCUGAGGCUCGAAAGUAUGGGUAGCAAACAGGAUUAGAUACCCUGGUAGUCCAUACCGUAAACGAUGAAUGCUAAGUGUUGGAGGGUUUCCGCCCUUCAGUGCUGCAGCUAACGCAUUAAGCAUUCCGCCUGGGGAGUACGGCCGCAAGGCUGAAACUCAAAGGAAUUGACGGGGGCCCGCACAAGCGGUGGAGCAUGUGGUUUAAUUCGAAGCUACGCGAAGAACCUUACCAGGUCUUGACAUACUAUGCAAAUCUAAGAGAUUAGACGUUCCCUUCGGGGACAUGGAUACAGGUGGUGCAUGGUUGUCGUCAGCUCGUGUCGUGAGAUGUUGGGUUAAGUCCCGCAACGAGCGCAACCCUUAUUAUCAGUUGCCAGCAUUAAGUUGGGCACUCUGGUGAGACUGCCGGUGACAAACCGGAGGAAGGUGGGGAUGACGUCAAAUCAUCAUGCCCCUUAUGACCUGGGCUACACACGUGCUACAAUGGAUGGUACAACGAGUUGCGAACUCGCGAGAGUAAGCUAAUCUCUUAAAGCCAUUCUCAGUUCGGAUUGUAGGCUGCAACUCGCCUACAUGAAGUCGGAAUCGCUAGUAAUCGCGGAUCAGCAUGCCGCGGUGAAUACGUUCCCGGGCCUUGUACACACCGCCCGUCACACCAUGAGAGUUUGUAACACCCAAAGUCG
Molecule: ribosomal RNA, 1390 nt
Filed under: Lactiplantibacillus pentosus
Lineage: Bacteria; Bacillati; Bacillota; Bacilli; Lactobacillales; Lactobacillaceae
Also listed under: 1 other name
Description: bacterial SSU rRNA
Rfam family: Bacterial small subunit ribosomal RNA
Source: RNAcentral